This 468-nucleotide ribosomal RNA is filed under the name uncultured bacterium. RNAcentral describes it as "partial 16S ribosomal RNA". It matches the Rfam family "Bacterial small subunit ribosomal RNA", at positions 28 to 507 of the family's 1533-position model. The record is from RNAcentral.
GACGAACGCUGGCGGCGUGCUUAACACAUGCCAGUCGAACGGAAAGGCCCUGCUUUUGUGGGGUGCUCGAGUGGCGAACGGGUGAGUAAAACGUGAGUAACCUGCCCUUGACUUUGGGAUAACUUCAGGAAACUGGGGCUAAUACCGGAUAGGAGCUCCUGCUCCAUGGUGGGGGCUGGAAAGUUUCGGCGGUUGGGGUUGGACUCGCGGCUUAUCCGCUUGUUGGUGGGGUAGUGGAUUACCAAGGCCUUGACGGGUAGCCGGCCUGAGAGGGUGACAGGCCACAUUGGGACUGAGAUACCGCCCGGAGUCCUUCGGGCGCCAGCAGUGAGGAAUAUAGCACACUGGGCGGAAGCCUGAAGCAGCCACGCCGCGUGCGGGAUAACGGCCUUCGGGUUAUAAACCGCUUUCGCCUGUGACGCAGCGUGAGUGACGGUACUGGGUAAAGAAGCACCGGCUAACUACGUG